AAAGGCGAUGGUGAACUGCGUAUCUGGCUACAGCAGCGUCGAAGACGAAACUAGGUUGGGGUUCUGAUUUUGCAAUUUAGAUUUUUAGUUGUUCUCUGACUUUAGGGGUUUCUGUUCUGACAAUCAAAUUUCUUCUACAAUUUGAGAUGUAGGUUUUCGUUCGAAAUUGGAUUUAGGGUUUUCCUGUUCUUGGGGUUUUUGUCGC
This 205-nucleotide long non-coding RNA is filed under the name Vigna radiata. RNAcentral's name for it is "long non-coding RNA (VRAD_LNC009566)". The record is from RNAcentral. Lineage: Eukaryota; Viridiplantae; Streptophyta; Magnoliopsida; Fabales; Fabaceae.